Molecule: ribosomal RNA, 497 nt
Filed under: uncultured bacterium
Lineage: Bacteria
Description: partial 16S ribosomal RNA
Rfam family: Bacterial small subunit ribosomal RNA
Source: RNAcentral
GAUGAACGCUGGCGGCGUGCCUAAUACAUGCAAGUCGAGCGAACGGACGAGAAGCUUGCUUCUCUGAUGUUAGCGGCGGACGGGUGAGUAACACGUGGAUAACCUACCUAUAAGACUGGGAUAACUUCGGGAAACCGGAGCUAAUACCGGAUAAUAUUUUGAACCGCAUGGUUCAAAAGUGAAAGACGGUCUUGCUGUCACUUAUAGAUGGAUCCGCGCUGCAUUAGCUAGUUGGUAAGGUAACGGCUUACCAAGGCAACGAUGCAUAGCCGACCUGAGAGGGUGAUCGGCCACACUGGAACUGAGACACGGUCCAGACUCCUACGGGAGGCAGCAGUAGGGAAUCUUCCGCAAUGGGCGAAAGCCUGACAGAGCAACGCCGCGUGAGUGAUGAAGGUCUUCGGAUCGUAAACCUCUGUUAUUAGGGAAGAACAUAUGUGUAAGUAACUGUGCACAUCUUGACGGUACCUAAUCAGAAAGCCACGGCUAACUACGUG